This 263-nucleotide unclassified non-coding RNA is filed under the name plant metagenome. RNAcentral describes it as "partial contains small subunit ribosomal RNA, internal transcribed spacer 1, and 5.8S ribosomal RNA". The record is from RNAcentral.
UUUCCGUAGGUGAACCUGAGGAAGGAUCAUUAUUGUAUAACCGAGGUGCGAGGGCUUUCGCUGACCCGAAAGGUCGUGCACGCCCGAGUGCCCUCACACACAUCCAUCUCACCCCUAUGUGCACCACCGCGUGGGUCCCCCUUUGGCUUGUUCGGAGGGGGGCUUCCGUUUUCACACAAACUUUGUAUGCAGUGUAGAAUGUAUUUUUUGUUUUUGCGAUCACGCAAUCAAUACAACUUUCAACAACGGAUCUCUUGGCUCUC